This 211-nucleotide unclassified non-coding RNA is filed under the name plant metagenome. Its description in RNAcentral is "partial contains small subunit ribosomal RNA, internal transcribed spacer 1, and 5.8S ribosomal RNA". The record is from RNAcentral.
UUUCCGUAGGUGGACCUGCGGAAGGAUCAUUCAUAAUAAAGUGUUUUAUGGCACUUUUUAAAAAUCCAUAUCCACCUUGUGUGCAAUGUUAGAUCUCGUCAAUCUUGGCGAGAUUUUUAUACAUCAACUCAUUCUUUAACUAAUUUGUCUGAAAAAUAUUAUGAAUACUUAAUUCAAAAUACAACUCUCAACAACGGAUCUCUUGGCUCUC